GCAGCGGUGGCUUAGUGGUUAGAGCGCCUCUCAACAACGUCUCUUGCAAACACAAGGAUGUGACGUGUAUCCGCGACCACUUCAGUGGCUCUUCAAAAACAUGAAACAACGAGGAGAUCGUAAGUUCGGUUCCUGCCCGCUGCA
RNAcentral lists this transfer RNA (144 nucleotides) under Aureobasidium subglaciale EXF-2481. It matches the Rfam family "tRNA". Rfam says of the family: Transfer RNA (tRNA) molecules are approximately 80 nucleotides in length. Their secondary structure includes four short double-helical elements and three loops (D, anti-codon, and T loops). Further hydrogen bonds mediate the characteristic L-shaped molecular structure. tRNAs have two regions of fundamental functional importance: the anti-codon, which is responsible for specific mRNA codon recognition, and the 3' end, to which the tRNAs corresponding amino acid is attached (by aminoacyl-tRNA synthetases). tRNAs cope with the degeneracy of the genetic code in two manners: having more than one tRNA (with a specific anti-codon) for a particular amino acid; and 'wobble' base-pairing, i.e. permitting non-standard base-pairing at the 3rd anti-codon position. Lineage: Eukaryota; Fungi; Ascomycota; Dothideomycetes; Dothideales; Saccotheciaceae. The record is from Rfam by way of RNAcentral.